AAACCUUUGCCACACUCUGGCCGUUACCGUUCAAUCAUCCGAUUGAAAAACAUGUUCCUACGGUAUGGGCCUAUUUUGACGCAAAGAAGAUAAACACACUUGACCCGCUACUCACCGCGAUAUUCUUGGAGAUUUUUUUCUCGAGAUGGAUAUAGUGGUCCAUCUUAGUGGUCUACAU
RNAcentral lists this small nucleolar RNA (178 nucleotides) under Talaromyces islandicus. Its description in RNAcentral is "Penicillium islandicum Small nucleolar RNA snR80". It matches the Rfam family "Small nucleolar RNA snR80". The record is from Rfam by way of RNAcentral. Lineage: Eukaryota; Fungi; Ascomycota; Eurotiomycetes; Eurotiales; Trichocomaceae.